CUCACAUCACCAACGCCAGGGAAUUACGAGCCUAGCUUAAAACCCAAAGGACUUGACGGUGUCCCACCCAACUAGAGGAGCCUGUUCUAUAAUCGAUAACCCCCGAUUUACCUAACCCUAUUUUGCCAUUCAGCCUGUAUACCUCCGUCGUAAGCUUACCAUAUGAAUGCCCACAGUAAGUCUAAUGAUCUUAACAUCAAUACGUCAGGUCAAGGUGCAGCUUAUAGUAGGGAAAGAAAUGGGCUACAAUUUCUAAAUUAGAACAUACGAAAUGCUUCAUGAAACACAGCCACGAAGGCGGAUUUAGUAGUAAAAGGG
Molecule: ribosomal RNA, 318 nt
Filed under: Limnonectes sp. 'macrocephala'
Lineage: Eukaryota; Metazoa; Chordata; Amphibia; Anura; Dicroglossidae
Description: partial 12S ribosomal RNA
Rfam family: Bacterial small subunit ribosomal RNA
Source: RNAcentral